AGCGAACGCUGGCGGCAGGCUUAACGCAUGCAAGUCGAGCGGGCACUUCGGUGUCAGCGGCAGACGGGUGAGUAACACGUGGGAACGUACCCUUCGGUUCGGAAUAACGCUGGGAAACUAGCGCUAAUACCGGAUACGCCCUUUUGGGGAAAGGUUUACUGCCGAAGGAUCGGCCCGCGUCUGAUUAGCUAGUUGGUGGGGUAAUGGCCUACCAAGGCGACGAUCAGUAGCUGGUCUGAGAGGAUGAUCAGCCACACUGGGACUGAGACACGGCCCAGACUCCUACGGGAGGCAGCAGUGGGGAAUAUUGGACAAUGGGCGCAAGCCUGAUCCAGCCAUGCCGCGUGAGUGAUGAAGGCCUUAGGGUUGUAAAGCUCUUUUGUCCGGGACGAUAAUGACGGUACCGGAAGAAUAAGCCCCGGCGAACUUCGU
Molecule: ribosomal RNA, 432 nt
Filed under: uncultured bacterium
Lineage: Bacteria
Description: partial 16S ribosomal RNA
Rfam family: Bacterial small subunit ribosomal RNA
Source: RNAcentral